This 224-nucleotide ribosomal RNA is filed under the name uncultured Carnobacteriaceae bacterium. Its description in RNAcentral is "partial 16S ribosomal RNA". It matches the Rfam family "Bacterial small subunit ribosomal RNA", at positions 116 to 334 of the family's 1533-position model. The record is from RNAcentral. Lineage: Bacteria; Bacillati; Bacillota; Bacilli; Lactobacillales; Carnobacteriaceae.
CGUGAGGAACUUGCCCAUGAGCGGGGGACAACAUUCGGAAACGGAUGCUAAUACCCCAUAGGUGGAUUGGUCGCAUGACUAAUUCAUUAAAGGUGGCUCUGCUACCACUCAUGGAUAGCCUCGCGGUGUAUUAGCUAGUUGGUAAGGUAAUGGCUUACCAAGGCAGUGAUACGUAGCCGACUUGAGAGGGUGAUCGGCCACACUGGGACUGAGACACGGCCCAG